This is a long non-coding RNA of Panicum hallii, 976 nucleotides long. RefSeq lists it as uncharacterized. NCBI's taxonomy places the organism in Eukaryota, Viridiplantae, Streptophyta, Magnoliopsida, Poales, Poaceae. The transcript has 4 exons. The record is from RefSeq and is a predicted model, not a curated record.
UCUCCAACUGCUUCAACUACAUCUCUGACUACUACGACUAUAUCUUUGACUGCUUCAACUAUACAUUCGACUACUACGACUACAUCUUCGACUACACCGCAUCUUUGACUACUUCGACUGCAUCUCGGACUGUUUCAACUAUAUAUCUGACUACUACAACUACGUCUCCGACUACUGCAGUUACACCUCCAACUACUACAACUACAUCUUUGACACUUUGACUACAUUUCUUACUGCUUCAACUACACCUCCGACUACUACGACUACAUCUUCGACCCCUUCGACUACAUCUCUGACUGCUUCUCUAUUUUGGCGGUUUUUCAGUGGACAGAGAGCUAGUAUUUUGAUCACCAGGGAAAAUCUACUUACCCAAAAUUUCCAAAUUUCAACAGUAGCUGAUCGAGAGUGCUCAAAACAGGUAGAACACUAAAGUGUGGAAGUUUCUAGUGUUGCCCACUGAGUACUAGUCCGAAAAUUCUCAAAAUUUAGCAGCAGAAAGGGGGCAAAUUUUGAAGCAACUUCCCUAUUGAGCUUUUCUUCAGAUAAGGCUGACGGAUAAUGGAUGACCGGAUUGAUCCUACUGCUGACAGCCAUUUUAACCAACAGGAGGCGAUAAGCGGAAAAUGAACAGUGUACCGUGAAUCCAACGUCUGCUGGCUCUGACCUGACCUCACCGUGUGGAGUAUCCUCUCUACAUGUCUUGAGCAUCAGGACCAUCUUCUCGCGAAACUUCCAUGACCUUAGGUGACAACAUAGGGGAGUGAAGGCUUGCUGAAGAAUUAGCCCCAAGUAGUGUCAUGUACUAUCAAACUCUAGCUAACAGAGGCACUUCUGCCUUGUGGCGUUGAGGCAACACAAGUGAUCACUAUGGUUGCAAAACUUUAUAAGUGGUGGGACCAUGGUCUCAAAACAGUAUGAGCACUCUGUGCGAUCCAUCGUCUAUUCUUGUAUGAAAGAAUUGGAAGCUUGUUAUCCA